Molecule: ribosomal RNA, 441 nt
Filed under: uncultured bacterium
Lineage: Bacteria
Description: partial 16S ribosomal RNA
Rfam family: Bacterial small subunit ribosomal RNA
Source: RNAcentral
CCUACGGGUGGCAGCAGUGGGGAAUAUUGGGCAAUGGGCGCAAGCCUGACCCAGCAACGCCGCGUGAAGGAAGAGGCCCUCGGGUUGUAAACUUCUUUUAACAGGGACGAAGAAAGUGACGGUACCUGUUGAAUAAGCCACGGCUAACUACGUACCAGCAGCCGCGGUAAUACGUAGGUGGCAAGCGUUAUCCGGAUUUACUGGGUGUAAUGGGCGUGUAGGCGGGUGUGAAAGUCAGACGUAAAAUGCAAGGCCUAAACCGUGGAACUGCGUUUGAAACUGUUCUUCUGGUGGGAUGGAGGGGCAGGCGGAAUUCCGUGUGUAGCGGUGAAAUGCGUAGAUAUACGGAGGAACACCAGUGGCGAAGGCGGCCUGCUGGACAUUAACUGACGCUGAGGCGCGAAAGCGUGGGGAGCAAACAGGAUUAGAUACCCUGUAGUC